RNAcentral lists this non-coding RNA (21 nucleotides) under Arabidopsis thaliana (thale cress). Lineage: Eukaryota; Viridiplantae; Streptophyta; Magnoliopsida; Brassicales; Brassicaceae. The record is from RNAcentral.
UAAAGGAUAAACAUUUUGUGG